CCUACGGGUGGCAGCAGUGAGGAAUAUUGGUCAAUGGACGAGAGUCUGAACCAGCCAAGUAGCGUGAAGGAUGACUGCCCUAUGGGUUGUAAACUUCUUUUAUAUGGGAAUAAAAUGUUCCACGUGUGGGAUUUUGUAUGUACCAUAUGAAUAAGGAUCGGCUAACUCCGUGCCAGCAGCCGCGGUAAUACGGAGGAUCCGAGCGUUAUCCGGAUUUAUUGGGUUUAAAGGGAGCGUAGGUGGAUUGUUAAGUCAGUUGUGAAAGUUUGCGGCUCAACCGGAAAAUUGCAAUUUAAACUGGCAGUCUUGAGUACAGUAGGGGUUGGCGGAAUUCGUGGUGUAGCGGUGAAAUGCUUAGAUAUCACGAAGAACUCCGAUUGUGAAGGCAGUUCACUGGACUGCAACUGACACUGAGGCUCGAAAGUGUGGGUAUCAAACAGGAUUAGAUACCCGAGUAGUC
Molecule: ribosomal RNA, 460 nt
Filed under: uncultured bacterium
Lineage: Bacteria
Description: partial 16S ribosomal RNA
Rfam family: Bacterial small subunit ribosomal RNA
Source: RNAcentral